Molecule: long non-coding RNA, 220 nt
Filed under: Elaeis guineensis (African oil palm)
Lineage: Eukaryota; Viridiplantae; Streptophyta; Magnoliopsida; Arecales; Arecaceae
Description: long non-coding RNA (EGUI_LNC054496)
Source: RNAcentral
CGUGUAGUUUAAAACUUUUCUAGACAUCUACGCAGUAGAAAUAAAUAAAUUAAAAUAAUUUUAAUUUAUUCAUAUAUCAGAUUAGAUCUAUAACUGUAGUAAAGAUCUUGAUAUGAAUAUGUACCCAUGAUCUGAUAUCUGAAAUAGAAAAAUAAACUGUUAGAAAAAUAAAAUAGAGAUCGAAUCUCCAUAUCUCGAAUCCUGCGGAUGUCCCAGAUUC